This 440-nucleotide ribosomal RNA is filed under the name uncultured bacterium. RNAcentral describes it as "bacterial SSU rRNA". It matches the Rfam family "Bacterial small subunit ribosomal RNA", at positions 338 to 795 of the family's 1533-position model. The record is from RNAcentral.
CCUACGGGGGGCUGCAGUAACGAAUCUUCCCCAAUGCACGCAAGUGUGAGGGAGCGACGCCGCGUGGAGGACGAAGUUCUUCGGAAUGUAAACUCCUGUCAGGGGUUAGAAAGUUCUGAUCAACCCCAGAGGAAGAGGCGGCUAACUCUGUGCCAGCAGCCGCGGUAAUACAGAGGCCUCAAGCGUUAGGCGGAAUCACUGGGCUUAAAGCGUGUGUAGGCGGAUGCCUAAGUGCCUUGUGAAAUCCCACGGCUCAACCGUGGAACUGCUGGGCAUACUGGGUGUCUUGAGCCAUCCAGGGGUCGCUGGAACAAACGGUGGAGCGGUGAAAUGCGUAGAUAUCGUUUGGAACGCCAAAGGUGAAGACAGGCGACUGGGGAUGUGCUGACGCUGAGACACGAAAGCCAGGGGAGCAAACGGGAUUAGAUACCCCGGUAGUC